CCCUACGGGGCGCAGCAGUAGGGAAUUUUCGUCAAUGGGGGGAACCCUGAACGAGCAAUGCCGCGUGAGUGAAGAAGGCCUUCUGGUCGUAAAGCUCUGUUGUAAGAGAAAAACGAUGGAUAGAGGGAAUGCUAUGCAAGUGAUGGUAUCUUACGAGAAAGCCACGGCUAACUACGUGCCAGCAGCCGCGGUAAUACGUAGGUGGCGAGCGUUAUCCGGAAUGAUUGGGCGUAAAGGGUGCGCAGGCGGUCUGUUAAGUCAGCGGUCAAAGCCCGGGGCUCAACCCCGGCCCGCCGUUGAAACUG
RNAcentral lists this ribosomal RNA (305 nucleotides) under uncultured bacterium. RNAcentral's name for it is "bacterial SSU rRNA". It matches the Rfam family "Bacterial small subunit ribosomal RNA", at positions 337 to 635 of the family's 1533-position model. The record is from RNAcentral.